GAGUAACAACAAUGACUCUCGGCAACGGAUAUCUCGGCUCUCGCAUCGAUGAAGAACGUAGCGAAAUGCGAUACUUGGUGUGAAUUGCAGAAUCCCGUGAACCAUCGAGUCUUUGAACGCAAGUUGCGCCUGAGGCCACCCGGCCGAAGGGCACGUCUGCCUGGGUGUCACGC
Molecule: ribosomal RNA, 173 nt
Filed under: Ginoria nudiflora
Lineage: Eukaryota; Viridiplantae; Streptophyta; Magnoliopsida; Myrtales; Lythraceae
Description: 5.8S ribosomal RNA
Rfam family: 5.8S ribosomal RNA
About the family: 5.8S ribosomal RNA (5.8S rRNA) is a component of the large subunit of the eukaryotic ribosome.
Source: RNAcentral